UGGUGAUUCAAUCCAAUUUGGCGUUAAGAAUGAACCUUCUCAGGAAUAAACCUUGUGGGUGGUAGUGAUUCAAUCUUUAUGUGGUGUUAAACAUGAAGGUUCUCCCAUAAAGCCCAACAUCACAAACCAAUUCGUAACCGACGUCGGUAAUACUAUGCUAGGAAUUUCGGAAAGAAAUUUCGACAUCUCCCACUGUCCCACACGUUUCA
This 209-nucleotide long non-coding RNA is filed under the name Medicago truncatula (barrel medic). Its description in RNAcentral is "lncRNA gene49249". Lineage: Eukaryota; Viridiplantae; Streptophyta; Magnoliopsida; Fabales; Fabaceae. The record is from RNAcentral.